GCCAGUGUGGCCUAGUGGUUUGAGUGUUGGAUUAUGACUCUGGAGACCAGGGUUCGAUUCCCAACUCAGCCA
Molecule: transfer RNA, 72 nt
Filed under: Phrynosoma platyrhinos (Desert horned lizard)
Lineage: Eukaryota; Metazoa; Chordata; Lepidosauria; Squamata; Phrynosomatidae
Description: tRNA-OTHER
Source: RNAcentral